CAGCAGCAGCCACGGGAAUACGUAGGGUGCAAGCGUUAAUCGGAAUUACUGGGCGUAAAGCGUGCGCAGGCGGUUAUAUAAGACAGAUGUGAAAUCCCCGGGCUCAACCUGGGAACUGCAUUUGUGACUGUAUAGCUAGAGUACGGCAGAGGGGGAUGGAAUUCCGCGUGUAGCAGUGAAAUGCGUAGAUAUGCGGAGGAACACCGAUGGCGAAGGCAAUCCCCUGGGCCUGUACUGACGCUCAUGCACGAAAGCGUGGGGAGCAAACAGGAUUAGAUACCCCAGUAGUCCCUGUCUCUUAUAC
Molecule: ribosomal RNA, 304 nt
Filed under: uncultured bacterium
Lineage: Bacteria
Description: partial 16S ribosomal RNA
Rfam family: Bacterial small subunit ribosomal RNA
Source: RNAcentral